Molecule: ribosomal RNA, 440 nt
Filed under: uncultured bacterium
Lineage: Bacteria
Description: partial 16S ribosomal RNA
Rfam family: Bacterial small subunit ribosomal RNA
Source: RNAcentral
CCUACGGGUGGCAGCAGUGGGGAAUAUUGCACAAUGGGGGGGACCCUGAUGCAGCGACGCCGCGUGAGUGAAGAAGUAUUUCGGUAUGUAAAGCUCUAUCAGCAGGGAAGAAAAUGACGGUACCUGACUCAGAAGCCCCGGCUAAAUACGUGCCAGCAGCCGCGGUAAUACGUAGGGGGCAGGCGUUAUCCGGAUUUACUGGGUGUAAAGGGAGCGUAGACGGUUCUGCAAGUCUGAAGUGAAAGCCCAAGGCUCAAACAUGGGACUGCUUUGGAAACUGGAAAACUGGAGUGGAGGAGAGGUAAGCGGAAUGCCCGGUGUAGCGGUGAAAUGCGUAGAUAUCAGGCGGAACACCAGUGGCGAAGGCGGCGUACCGGAGUCAAACUGACGUUGAGGCUCGAAGGCGUGGGGAGCAAACAGGAUUAGAUACCCGAGUAGUC